ACCCUCGCCUUUAGUUGCCAGCAUGUUUGGGUGGGCACUCUAAAGGAACUGCCGGUGACAAGCCGGAGGAAGGUGGGGAUGACGUCAAGUCCUCAUGGCCCUUAUGUCCUGGGCUACACACGUGCUACAAUGGCGGUGACAGUGGGACGCCAGGCAGCGAUGCCGAGCUGAUCUCCAAAAGCCGUCUCAGUUCGGAUUGCACUCUGCAACUCGGGUGCAUGAAGGUGGAAUCGCUAGUAAUCGUGGAUCAGCAUGCCACGGUGAAUACGUUCCCGGGCCUUGUACACACCGCCCGU
Molecule: ribosomal RNA, 296 nt
Filed under: uncultured Alphaproteobacteria bacterium
Lineage: Bacteria; Pseudomonadati; Pseudomonadota; Alphaproteobacteria
Description: partial 16S ribosomal RNA
Rfam family: Bacterial small subunit ribosomal RNA
Source: RNAcentral